RNAcentral lists this ribosomal RNA (301 nucleotides) under uncultured bacterium. RNAcentral's name for it is "partial 16S ribosomal RNA". It matches the Rfam family "Bacterial small subunit ribosomal RNA", at positions 509 to 809 of the family's 1533-position model. The record is from RNAcentral.
CAGUAGCCGCGGUAAUACGUAGGGUGCAAGCGUUAAUCGGAAUUACUGGGCGUAAAGCGUGCGCAGGCGGUUAUAUAAGACACAUGUGAAAUCCCCGGGCUCAACCUGGGAACUGCAUUUGUGACUGUAUAGCUAGAGUACGGCAGAGGGGGAUGGAAUUCCGCGUGUAGCAGUGAAAUGCGUAGAUAUGCGGAGGAACACCGAUGGCGAAGGCAAUCCCCUGGGCCUGUACUGACGCUCAUGCACGAAAGCGUGGGGAGCAAACAGGAUUAGAGACCCCAGUAGUCCCUGUCUCUUAUAA